CAGUGCUCUUCCCGUCUUUUUGUGUAAAUGAUCAUAAGCGAGUGUAAAAGACUACGCAGUUCAUAUACACGAAAAUACAUAAGUGUUAAAAUAAAUUUAUGUUAAAGUCAAAUGUAUUAAAUAGUUCAUGUGUUAAAGAAAAUUUAUAAUAAAAAUAAUAAGUGUAUUUAAGAGAAAAAAGUCUUAUAAUUAUUCAACGUGCACUGGUCACCUUAUUCACAACAGCAUUAACAAAGAAGUCAUUGCCAAGAGAAGAAAGUUGUAGAUCAGAUCAAUUCAUGGAAAACCAAGCAACAGAGAACUGGUUGAUCUUCGCCAAGUCUGCCAAACCAGAACAAUAAAAAAUCAUGUAAGUAAAAUACGAAACGAUAGAAAAAGCAUCUGAAAUCCUCCUACUGGAAGGGAUCGUACUUCAAGGCAUAUCAGUCAGUAUUAAGCAAGCGGGCUACCAAAGGUGCAACCGUAAUGAAACGAGUACAGGGGUGUCCAGCCAGGCUGAGACAGACGUGUCCUUUAAGGGCACGCAUUGGAAACAGUCAUUGGCAGGCAGACAGUCUGGCACCGGAUUAGUCUGCACUACUAGUGGUACUAGUACUGUGACCACCACGAAUAAUGUUGUUGAGGUCAAUUUCGUGAUGACUACAAAAAUAUCAAUGGGCUUAAAAGAACCAAACGUUUUUGAAGAAACAGAUACAGUUGAAGAUUCAGACGAAGAGCCACAAUGUGAAAUUACUGAUUAUGUCGAAGCACAAACAAAUCAUUGCAAAUAAGUGAAACGUAAAAAGGGACCGAUAAUUUCCGAAGAUGAACCUUCGUCUAAAAAACAUAAACUGGUUGUAUUAGCUUCUAUAUUGACAAUUUAUAUAACUAACACUUUUUAUAUUACCAUUAACAUUUUUUAAUUUAAUUUUAUAUUAUUAUAUAGGUUAAAUUGAAAGUUGACUGAAUGAUUUCAAAGACAAGGCAACUCACUACAAUCAAUAAACUCGAAGUUAAAUAAACGGAUUCUCUUUUACAACUUAAUCUUAAACGUAAUAUUGGAUUCAAGUAAUCUUCAAGCAGGAUGAAAAAAAAAUAUCGCUGAGUAAAAUUUCUAUUCUCGAUUC
Melanaphis sacchari is the source of this 1106-nucleotide long non-coding RNA. RefSeq lists it as uncharacterized. The transcript is spliced from 6 exons. Lineage: Eukaryota; Metazoa; Arthropoda; Insecta; Hemiptera; Aphididae. The record is from RefSeq and is a predicted model, not a curated record.